GAUGAACGCUGGCGGCGUGCUUAACACAUGCAAGUCGAACGGAAAGGCCAGUGCUUGCACUGGUGCUCGAGUGGCGAACGGGUGAGUAACACGUGGGUGAUCUGCCCUGCACUUUGGGAUAAGCCUGGGAAACUGGGUCUAAUACCAGAUAGGACCAUGCUUUGGAUGGUGUGGUGGAAAGUUUUUUCGGUGUGGGAUGAGCUUGCGGCCUAUCAGCUUGUUGGUGGGGUAAUGGCCUACCAAGGCGUCGACGGGUAGCCGGCCUGAGAGGGUGUACGGCCACAUUGGGACUGAGAUAAGGCCCAGACUCCUACGGGAGGCAGCAGUGGGGAAUAUUGCACAAUGGGCGCAAGCCUGAUGCAGCGACGCCGCGUGGGGGAUGACGGCCUUCGGGUUGUAAACUCCUUUCGCAACUGACGAAGCUUUUUGUGACGGUAGGUUGAGAAGAAGCACCGGCUAACUACGUG
This 467-nucleotide ribosomal RNA is filed under the name uncultured bacterium. RNAcentral describes it as "partial 16S ribosomal RNA". It matches the Rfam family "Bacterial small subunit ribosomal RNA", at positions 28 to 507 of the family's 1533-position model. The record is from RNAcentral.